Molecule: ribosomal RNA, 455 nt
Filed under: uncultured bacterium
Lineage: Bacteria
Description: bacterial SSU rRNA
Rfam family: Bacterial small subunit ribosomal RNA
Source: RNAcentral
UACGGGAGGCAGCAGUGGGGAAUAUUGCACAAUGGGCGCAAGCCUGAUGCAGCCAUGCCGCGUGUAUGAAAAAGGCCUUCGAGUUGUAAAGUACUUUCAGUCGUGAGGAAGGUGUUAAGGUUAAUAACCUUAGCAAUUGACGUUAGCGACAGAAGAAGCACCGGCUAACUCCGUGCCAGCAGCCGCGGUAAUACGGAGGGUGCGAGCGUUAAUCGGAAUUACUGGGCGUAAAGGGCACGCAGGCGGUUAAUUAAGUUGGAUGUGAAAUCCCCGGGCUUAACCUGGGAAUGGCAUUCAAGACUGGUUAGCUAGAGUCUUGUAGAGGGGGUAGAAUUCCAUGUGUAGCGGUGAAAUGCGUAGAGAUGUGGAGGAAUACCGGGUGGCGAAGGCGGCCCCUGGGACAAAGACUGACGCUCAUGUGCGAAAGCGUGGGGAGCAAACAGGGAUUAGAUACC